CCUACGGGUGGCAGCAGUGAGGAAUAUUGGUCAAUGGACGAGAGUCUGAACCAGCCAAGUAGCGUGAAGGAUGACUGCCCUAUGGGUUGUAAACUUCUUUUAUAAAGGAAUAAAACGAGGCACGUGUGCCUUUUUGCAUGUACUUUAUGAAUAAGGAUCGGCUAACUCCGUGCCAGCAGCCGCGGUAAUACGGAGGAUUCGAGCGUUAUCCGGAUUUAUUGGGUUUAAGGGAGCGUAGAUGGGUUGUUAAGUCAGUUGUGAAAGUUUGCGGCUCAACCGUAAAAUUGCAAUUGAUACUGGCAGUCUGGAGUACAGGUGAGGUAGGCGGGAUGCGUGGUGUAGCGGUGAAAUGCUGAGAUAUCACGAAGAACCCCGAUUGCGAAGGCAGCUUACUAACCUGUGACUGACAUUGAUGCUCGAAAGUGUGGGUAUCAAACAGGAUUAGAUACCCGGGUAGUC
This 459-nucleotide ribosomal RNA is filed under the name uncultured bacterium. Its description in RNAcentral is "partial 16S ribosomal RNA". It matches the Rfam family "Bacterial small subunit ribosomal RNA", at positions 338 to 795 of the family's 1533-position model. The record is from RNAcentral.